CGAACGCGGCGGCAGGCUACCCAUGCUGACGAGCGCGCCUUCGGGCGACGCGGCGGACGGGUUAGUAACGCGUGGGAACGUGCCCAGAUCUACGGAAUAGCCACUGGAAACGGUGAGUAAUACCGUAUACGCCCUUCGGGGGAAAGAUUUAUCGGAUUUGGAUCGGCCCGCGUUAGAUUAGGUAGUUGGUGGGGUAACGGCCUACCAAGCCUACGAUCUAUAGCUGGUUUUAGAGGAUGAUCAGCAACACUGGGACUGAGACACGGCCCAGACUCCUACGGGAGGCAGCAGUGGGGAAUCUUGGACAAUGGGGGCAACCCUGAUCCAGCCAUGCCGCGUGAGUGAAGAAGGCCCUAGGGUCGUAAAACUCUUUCGCCUGUGAUGAUAAUGACAGUAGCAGGUAAAGAAACCCCGGCUAACUCCGUGCCAGCAGCCGCGGUAAUACGGAGGGGGUUAGCGUUGUUCGGAAUUACUGGGCGUAAAGCGCGCGUAGGCGGAUUAGAAAGUUGGGGGUGAAAUCCCGAGGCUCAACCUCGGAACUGCCUCCAAAACUGCUAGUCUAGAGUUCGAGAGAGGUGAGUGGAAUC
This 587-nucleotide ribosomal RNA is filed under the name uncultured Ruegeria sp. RNAcentral's name for it is "bacterial SSU rRNA". It matches the Rfam family "Bacterial small subunit ribosomal RNA", at positions 30 to 668 of the family's 1533-position model. The record is from RNAcentral. Lineage: Bacteria; Pseudomonadati; Pseudomonadota; Alphaproteobacteria; Rhodobacterales; Roseobacteraceae.